UACGUAGGGUGCGAGCGUUGUCCGGAUUUAUUGGGCGUAAAGAGCUUGUAGGCGGCUCGUCACGUCGGGUGUGAAAACUCGCGGCUCAACCGCGAGCCUGCACCCGAUACGGGCGGGCUAGAGUUCGGCAGGGGAGACUGGAAUUCCUGGUGUAGCGGUGGAAUGCGCAGAUAUCAGGAGGAACACCGGUGGCGAAGGCGGGUCUCUGGGCAGUAACUGACGCUGAGGAGCGAAAGCGUGGGGAGCGAACAGG
Molecule: ribosomal RNA, 253 nt
Filed under: uncultured bacterium
Lineage: Bacteria
Description: partial 16S ribosomal RNA
Rfam family: Bacterial small subunit ribosomal RNA
Source: RNAcentral